This 978-nucleotide long non-coding RNA is filed under the name Fukomys damarensis (Damara mole-rat). RNAcentral describes it as "lncRNA (ENSFDAG00000029074.1)". The record is from RNAcentral. Lineage: Eukaryota; Metazoa; Chordata; Mammalia; Rodentia; Bathyergidae.
GACAGCAAACCCCACAGAGCUCCCGCGGGCAGCCUGCGGGGACCACAGCAAGCUCAGAGAGCAAGGAGUGGGAACAGAAACUGAGUGGAGCACUUUAGAGGACUACAGAUUCCACCAAGAACAGAACCGACCCGAGACUGCCCUGAACCUCAGGACAGUGGAAUGUACCCUUCCAGCCGAUGCAGUCAUGAUCCACCCGUCCAAACACACAGCCCGGCUGAAGGUGACCCGCCCGGAGCAAGAGAAUUUCUGGCCAACCAACUCGGGCAGGCCCCUGACAGCUCGAGAGUCUGUGCACCCUGACCGGGCACCAUUUCUGGGAGGAAGGGCCGCAGCUCCGAAAACCGAGAAGAAGAAGAACAAGCAGGGCAAGAGAACUGCGCUCGUGCUGUAGUCCUCGCGCAUGACUACUGGGCCGUGUGCAGGUGAGCGACCUCACGUGGUCUCUUGGCGACGGGGAAGGACACUGCUGGUGAGAACGUCGUGGGAACCAUUCCGUUCUUCCUCCCUCCCUUCCCCUGGCCUUUCCUUUCCCUUUGCGUGGGCAAGCACAUCGCUCACGAUCCUCAUGGGCUUCUUUUCUACUCUCAGGAAAGGGUUGCGACCUCCACAGAGUGUAUCCGAGGGGGAAAAGAGGCAAGGAGGUGAAAGCUGCAGAGGAAUCGUCUUCGCGAAACCCAGGAGGCCUCGGUCAGAGGAUGAAUGGCAGGGAGGCCGGCCGAUCCACGGGGCCGCGUUUCGGUUGCACCGCAGAGGAUACUGAAUUUCUGGGGAUGCAUAAGUCGACUCUUUGGUGACGCUCAGCGGAUUAUGGGAAGAGGCUCAUAAACUUGACAUGAAAGAACCGAAACUGCUCGCCUGGACCCGGUGUUAGAGCCUCUGAAACAGCCAGGGACUCUUGAGUGUAGCAGUUUGCCCCAGUGGGGCCUGUAAACCUUUCUCCUGUGACUUUUGCAAUAAACCAAACAUUGACAGUGU